GAUGAACGCUGGCGGCGUGCUUAACACAUGCAAGUCGAACGAUGAAGCCCAGCUUGCUGGGUGGGUUAGUGGCGAACGGGUGAGUAACACGUGAGUAACCUGCCCUUAACUCUGGGAUAAGCCUGGGAAACUGGGUCUAAUACCGGAUAGGAGCGCCUACCGCAUGGGGGGGGGUGGAAAGAUUUAUCGGUUUUGGAUGGACUCGCGGCCUAUCAGCUUGUUGGUGGGGUAAUGGCUCACCAAGGCGACGACGGGUAGCCGGCCUGAGAGGGUGACCGGCCACACUGGGACUGAGACACGGCCCAGACUCCUACGGGAGGCAGCAGUGGGGAAUAUUGCACAAUGGGCGAAAGCCUGAUGCAGCGACGCCGCGUGAGGGAUGACGGCCUUCGGGUUGUAAACCUCUUUCAGUAGGGAAGAAGCGAAAGUGACGGUACCUGCAGAAGAAGCACCGGCUAACUACGUG
This 466-nucleotide ribosomal RNA is filed under the name uncultured bacterium. RNAcentral describes it as "partial 16S ribosomal RNA". It matches the Rfam family "Bacterial small subunit ribosomal RNA", at positions 28 to 507 of the family's 1533-position model. The record is from RNAcentral.